Molecule: ribosomal RNA, 1666 nt
Filed under: Danio margaritatus (celestial pearl danio)
Lineage: Eukaryota; Metazoa; Chordata; Actinopteri; Cypriniformes; Danionidae
Description: 16S ribosomal RNA
Rfam family: Bacterial large subunit ribosomal RNA
Source: RNAcentral
ACCAAACAGCUAGCUUAAUUAUUAUACUAACAAAAAAUAUUAAUAAUAAGUAACUAACCUCCAACCAAUAAAUUAAAUCAUUCUAAAUAUCGUAGUAUGGGCGACAGAAGAUUCAACAAAUCAAUACAAAAAGUACCGCAAGGGAAAGCUGUAAGAGAAACUAAAUAGCCCAUAUAAUGUAUUAAGCCGCAGAGCUUAACCCUCGUACCUAAUUAGCAUGAUGAUAUAGGCAGAAUAAUAAAGGGAAAGAUACGUUUAGUAGUACAGGAUCCGAAACCUGGUGAGCUACCGACACAUCCUAAUCAUUUUGGGGAAACUCAUCUGCGUGGCAUUAACAGUGAGAGCAUCGCGGGUACAAGUGACAGGUCUACCCAACCUGGUCAUACCUGUUGUGUUAGAAAAGGAAUACAAGAUCAGCCACGUAUUCACGGCAAAUUUAAAAUUUAUAAGUAAAAUAUAGAGCAUCAUACGAAUGUUAGUUAAAAGGGCUACAGCCCUUUUAACACAGGAUACAGGACUUUAAAGGAGAAUAAAGCUCAUAAUAUACAAAACAUAAUGUCGUAGUGGGCCUAAGAGCAGCCAUCUAAAUAAAAAGCGUUAAAGCUUAAACAAAAACAGUUCAUAAUACUGAUAAAAAAUCUUACUUCCCUUAAAGUACUAGACCAAUCCAUGCACCCAUGGAAGAAAGUAUGCUAAAAUGAGUAACAAGAAGAACACAACCAUCUCCCCGCUUGAGUGUAAGUUGGAUUGGACCAACCACUAACAAUUAACGAACCCAAUAAAAGAGGGAAUUGUGAAUAUCAAACUAAUUAAGAUCGCACAACCAAUAAUCCUCCUCCCGACACAGGUAUCCAUAACAAGGAUUCGACUGAAAGGAAGGGAUGGAAGUCGCAAACUCAUGCGUCCCCUGUACCAAAAACACCGCGUCCGCCAAUAACAAAUAAAGGACGUCCGGCCUGCCCUGUGAGUUCAAGUUCAACGGCCGCCGUAUUCUGACGGUGCAAAGCUAGCGCAAUCGCUCGUCGUUAAAAAAGGUCCUGUAUGUAUGGCAAGACGAUGGCUUGACUGUCUCGCCCUUGAGGUCAGUGAAAUUGAUCUAUCCGUGCAGCUGCGGAUAUAUUAUACAAGACCCAGAAGACCCUUUGGGGCUUUAGGUACAAGACUUAGCUUACGUUAAAUAAUCUUCAAAGCACAUAGCUUAGUGAAAAUAACUUUACCUUCGCUUGGGCCGACCGUAGAGGAAAAGAAGCCUCGAAGUGGAUAGGGUUCAACCCAGAAACUAAGAAAAACAAUUGUACGACACAGAACUCUGACCAUAAUGAUGCGGCUUAUAAGUCGAUCAACGAACCUAGUUGCCCUAGGGAUAACAGCGCAAUCCUCUCCCAGAGUCCAUAUCGACGAGGGGGUUUACGCUCUCGAUGAUGGUUCAGGAGAUCCUAUGGUGCGGCCGCUGUUAAGGGAUCGUUUGUUCACGAUUAGAGUCCUAGGUGAUCUGUUCAGAGCGGAGUAUUCCAGGUCAGUUUCUAUCUGUAACGCUACUUUUCCUAGUACGAAAGGAUCGGAAAAGAGGGGCCCAUACUUAAAGCACGCCCCACCCCUAAUUAAUGAAAACAAAUAAAUUAAAUAAAGGGAGGGCCAAAACCCCAACCAUCCGAAAUAAGGACAU